Molecule: small nucleolar RNA, 138 nt
Organism: Tachyglossus aculeatus (Australian echidna)
Lineage: Eukaryota; Metazoa; Chordata; Mammalia; Monotremata; Tachyglossidae
Source: RefSeq, a predicted model, not a curated record
UCUCUCUCAGGUUCGCACGUGGGGUGUUUCCAGUACUCUACCAGUCUUGACUACAAGAGGGAGAGUCAAGCAGAGGCCUACCCAUUCCAUUCCUAGCUUGGGCAAUGGCUAGCGAGUGGAAAGCAAUCUGCUACAACC